CAUUCCCAGUCAAAAAAAACAAUUGAAACCAUUUGGAAAUAUCAAUGGGUCCAACUGGAAACGGCAAUUUCCAAUUGGGCCAAGUGUUAUCACCAACAGGACCAUUUGGACCAGUUAGAACGGCCAAUUGGUUCAUAUGGAAACCCUCACUUCCAAUUGGGCCAGAUGGAGUCUCCAGCAGGACCAUUUGGGUAAAUCUGGAUUGCCACAUGGUCCAAAUGGAGUUUUCAAAACCAUUUGGACAAAAUUUAAGUGAGAAAAUGUUACUGUCUUUUGUGUACAAAAUUUGCAGAUUUCUCUUUCCCUUUUGAAAUUUCUCUUUUGAGAUUUGGACGUGAGAUUCGAGAUUGGAUUCGUGAGAUUGGAAGACACUAUUUGGCAUUUGGAGGGCAAGUAAAUGUGGAACGACCGCAAAAAAAAAAGUGGUCGGUCUAUUGAUCAUGUUACAGUAAAAAAAAAAAAAAAAAAAACUUGCACUGUUUUAUGUGUUUCUUAAACACACGACUCAAACAACUUUUAGGCAUAAAACAAUUUGUAAUUUAGCAAUAAUGUUUAAAUUUUUUAUUUCACAUCUAUGAGAUAAUUCUUCUUUGGAAUUAAAUUUUCUCUCAGCGUCAUUUUUCCUUGGCGACCGAACGGGAGAGCAUAAUCGACAUCAACAUUAGCAACAUGUGCUCGUGUGUGCUGAUCGCCUUGCGUGCUUCGUGCGACCGUCUGACAGCACUAUGAUCACCCACGCGUACGUGCGGUACGAAAUCGACAAACAUUUAGCAAUUGUGCCCGUGACAGACAUAAAGAACUUCAAGCCUGACGACGACUUUUCGGCGGCUUUUUAUAUGGUCAAGUGGACGGACGCGGCCGGCACGUGUGCCCACUACCGUGCCAGAAUUUUGCAGAUCGGAGGUUGUGCCGCGACUAGACCGGAAAGGUGCCAUGAACAGUAUCCAGCAUUGCAUUUUCCUUCGUAAUAAAGCUUUAAAUCCUACUUUUCA
Molecule: long non-coding RNA, 992 nt
Organism: Dermacentor andersoni
Lineage: Eukaryota; Metazoa; Arthropoda; Arachnida; Ixodida; Ixodidae
Source: RefSeq, a predicted model, not a curated record